CGGAAUCGGAACAAACAUGCCCUGUGCAGUCGCCCAUAGCCUUGAUUAAUUGCCGUCAGGCCACACACCACACACCACAUCGGGCCGACCGACACAUUCUCAAUCACUUAACUCAAGUGUUAUUGCCAAUCUUUAUCGACCAGAAAAGAAACUGAGAAACAGGCAAUACAAACAGGCAACACCGACACACAAAAGGGCUCUAAUUAGGCCUGAUUCGAGUAAGGCCUAUUCGAGGCACUGCGUAAUAAUAACAGAUGUUGAAGCCAGACUCUCGAAACGGAUAAAGACUCUCCUAACUUCCAGGUGCACUCGAACGAUAAUCAUCUUGGAGAACGGUUUUCAACUCCAUUUACCGAUUGCCCCAGCGCACGUGGGCCGCCGGAUCUCUUCGGAAUUGUUUGAGCGCUUAAACCAACUGCCAAGCUGUUUUUUAUAGAGUCUAAAAGACCACCAAAUGGAUUUUACAGCUGAUUCUAAGUGUUGUUAAUGACUUCCAAAUGGUUUUCCAAAUGGUAAUUUUAUUU
Drosophila miranda is the source of this 524-nucleotide long non-coding RNA. RefSeq lists it as uncharacterized. NCBI's taxonomy places the organism in Eukaryota, Metazoa, Arthropoda, Insecta, Diptera, Drosophilidae. The record is from RefSeq and is a predicted model, not a curated record. The transcript has 3 exons.